This 377-nucleotide unclassified non-coding RNA is filed under the name soil metagenome. Its description in RNAcentral is "partial contains 5.8S ribosomal RNA, internal transcribed spacer 2, and large subunit ribosomal RNA". The stretch from base 1 to 120 matches the Rfam family "5.8S ribosomal RNA", at positions 35 to 154 of the family's 154-position model. The record is from RNAcentral.
GAUGAAGAACGUAGUGAAAUGCGAUAAGUAAUGUGAAUUGCAGAAUUCAGUGAAUCAUCGAAUCUUUGAACGCACCUUGCGCUCCUUGGUAUUCCGAGGAGCAUGCCUGUUUGAGUGUCAUUAAAUUCUCAACCUCACCAACUUUGGUUGUGUGAAGGCUUGGAUGUGGGGGUUGCAGGUCCACUUUGGUGGUCUGCUCCUCUAAAAUGUAUUAGUGGGUUAGUCCCCUUAUCUAUUGGUGUGAUAAUUAUCUACGCCGUGGAUUGGGAUGGCUAUAUAGACUUGCUUCUAACCGUCCUCACGGACAACUUUGACAUUUUUGACCUCAAAUCAGGUAAGACUACCCGCUGAACUUAAGCAUAUCAAUAAGCGGAGGA